Molecule: ribosomal RNA, 397 nt
Filed under: uncultured bacterium
Lineage: Bacteria
Description: bacterial SSU rRNA
Rfam family: Bacterial small subunit ribosomal RNA
Source: RNAcentral
UAAUACGUAGGGAGCUAGCGUUGUUCGGAAUUACUGGGCGUAAAGAGCGCGUAGGCGGUCUGGUAAGUCCGUCGUGAAAUCCCAGAGCUUAACUCUGGAACUGCGGCGGAAACUGCCAGGCUUGAGUGCGGGAGAGGAGAGUGGAAUUCCCAGUGUAGAGGUGAAAUUCGUAGAUAUUGGGAGGAACACCGGUGGCGAAGGCGGCUCUCUGGACCGCAACUGACGCUGAGGCGCGAAAGCUAGGGGAGCAAACGGGAUUAGAUACCCCGGUAGUCCUAGCCGUAAACGAUGGGCACUAGGUGUAGGAGGUAUCGACCCCUUCUGUGCCGCAGCUAACGCAUUAAGUGCCCCGCCUGGGGAGUACGGUCGCAAGACUAAAACUUAAAGGAAUUGACGG